This 228-nucleotide ribosomal RNA is filed under the name Triticum aestivum (bread wheat). RNAcentral's name for it is "partial small subunit ribosomal RNA". The record is from RNAcentral. Lineage: Eukaryota; Viridiplantae; Streptophyta; Magnoliopsida; Poales; Poaceae.
AUGAGGUUCUUGUGUUGGAACUGUCGCGGCCUAGGGACGGACGCGACAGUUGGCGAGCUGAAAUGGCUCGUUAAUAAAUAUCGUCCCUCCCUCCUCUUUCUAUCCGAGACGAAGAUGAGGGACUCAAGAGCUCGGAGCCUAAUGUGGACGUUGGGUUUUUCGGGAGCUUUUGCAGUUAGCAGUGAUGGAUUGAGUGGGGGUUUGGCCCUUUAUUGGUCUGCCUCUAUC